UACGGGGCGCGGGGCAUGACGGGAGUUGUAGUGCGGGAGGGGCGGGGUCUGCAAUGCUUCGCUACGAGCGCCGCGGGGCAUGACGGGAGUUGUAGUGCGGGAGGGGCGGGGUCUGCAAUGCUUCGCUACGGGCGCCGCGGGGCAUGACGGGAGUUGUAAACGGAUAACGAGGGAUUUCACGACCCCAGAGACGCGUCCGGAGCGGCGAUGGCCGCCAAGGUGAAGGUGGAGAAGCCAGAGCUGGAGGCGGCGGCGGCGCGGCGACGUCUCGACGCCGUCCUGGAGCAGCUCCUGCAGCGCGGGCCCAGGUGGGAGCCGGGCGGGAAUCCCGGAAUUCCCGGAAUUCUGGGAUCCAAAAUGGGAAUCUGGAGGGGUUUGGGGCAGGAAUCCGGGAAUUUGGGGAGUUCUGGGAUCCAAAAUGGGAAUCUGGAGGGGUUUGAGAGGGAAUUUUGGGAGGAGUUUUGGGAAUUUUGGGAAUUUUGGGAUCCAAAAUGGGAAUUUUGAGGGGUUUUAGAGGGAGUUUGGGACAGGAAUCCGUGAAUUUUGGGAAUUCUGGGAUGGAAAAUGGGAAUUUUGAGGGGUUUUAGAGGGAAUUUGGGGCGGGAAUCCCGGAAUUCCCGGAGUUCUGGGAUCCAAAAUGGGAAUCUGGAGGGGUUUGGGGCAGAAAUCCGGGAAUUCUGGGAUCCAAAAUGGGAAUCUGGAGGGGUUUGGGAUAGGAAUCCGGGAAUUCUGGGAUCCAAAAUGGGAAUCUGGAGGGGUUUGAGACAGGAAUCCGGGAAUUUGGGGAACUCUGGGAUCCAAAAUGGGAAUUUUGAGGGGUUUUAAUUGGAAUUUGGGGCAGAAAUCCGGGAAUUUUGGGAUCCAAAAUGGGAUUUUUGAGGGGUUUGGGGCAGAAAUCCGGGAAUUCUGGGAUCAAAAUGGGAUUUUUGAGGGGUUUGGGGCAGAAAUCCGGGAAUUUGGGAAUUCUGGGAUUGAAAAUGGGAAUUUUGAGGGGUUUUAGAGGGAAUUUGGGGCAGAAAUCCGGGAAUUCUGGGAUCCAAACGGGAAUUUUGAGGGGUUUUAAAGGGAAUUUGGGACAGGAAUCAGGGAAUUUUUGGAAUUUUGGGUUCAAAAAUGGGAAUUUUGAGGGGUUUUAGAGGGAAUUUGGGGCAGAAAUCCGGGAAUUUUGGGAAUUCUGGGAUCCAAAAUUGGAAUCUUGAGGGGUUUUAGAGGGAAUUUGGGGCAGGAAUUUGGGGAAUUCUGGGAUCAAAAUGGGAAUUUUGAGGGGUUUUAGAGGGAAUUUGGGGGUUUUAAUUGGAAUUUUGGGAGGAAUUUGGGAAUUUUGAGGGGUUUUAGAGGGAGUUUNNNNNNNNNNNNNNNNNNNNCGACGUCUCGACGCCGUCCUGGAGCAGCUCCUGCAGCGCGGGCCCAGGUGGGAGCCGGGCGGGAAUCCCGGAAUUCCCGGAAUUCUGGGAUCCAAAAUGGGAAUCUGGAGGGGUUUGGGAUAGGAAUCCGGGAAUUCUGG
Molecule: long non-coding RNA, 1504 nt
Filed under: Cyanistes caeruleus (blue tit)
Lineage: Eukaryota; Metazoa; Chordata; Aves; Passeriformes; Paridae
Description: lncRNA (ENSCCEG00000000194.1)
Source: RNAcentral